AAGCCUCUUGCUCAUUAAGCAAAGGCCCUCCAAGUCUUUUUACUUCAGCACUUUGGAAACUCUCCAAGACUUAACUUCAGAUCUGGGGAGGUUCUAUGUGGAGCAGACCUAUCCCUUCUUAUUCCUGUUCCUGGAUGUCUCCAUAAUCAGCCUCUACCUUCUCUGGCAUAAGUCGUAUCUGUUAUGCUGCAGGAACUGAGUAACCAAAGCUAGAUAUCCCUUGGACCACUGAUUAGUGACACAUUUUCUCCACAACAAAGGGAGGUUAAAGAUAAAGGUUUAACCUGAGAAACUUUUUUUUUGGCAAGACAAUAAAGAGGUUAAAGAGGCUACGUGGAUCUGUCACUGCUUUAGCUUACCAUUUUCGAUUCAGCACCAAAGUACUCAGGAAGACAGGCUCAGAUCAGGACGACUUCUUAAAGGGAUUCACAGGCAAUCUUAUGGGCAAAAUGAUUUUCCAAAGCUGAGCCACUUGCCCCACCCUACAGGGAGGGGAGUAGAAUCUUAAGGCCCAGCAUUGGCAUUGAGGCAUCUUGCUUUUUUUCCUCAGAAUUCCACAAAGGCUUAAGAGUGAUCUAAAUGCCUGGCUGGAAGCUCAAGUCUAGGAGAGCUAUUUUACUGCACUGUUGAGAUGUUCUCUGCAAGGUGAUAUCCCAAGUGACACAGAAACACAGCUCCCCCGGAUGGUGAAGUCUCCGCUGCAAAACUCACCAGAGAGCACAGAGGAUGACUCUGGGGUGCUCUCCCACUUGCUCCAAGUUAGGUAGGUGCCCUGAUGGAGGCAAGGCUGAGCCAUUAACAUGCAUAGCUCCAUAUCCUGGAAGCCUCUAUAGCCUCGAGGAGAUAGGCUCUACCCAACAGGACUCAGAAUAAAUGACUGCCACCUCAACCGGGCAGUCUGACCUCUUCCACAGUCUUUAAGAAACAGAAGGGCCAUUUGCAUUAUUUAAUCACCAUUCAAUAAUCUCCUCCCUCCCCACAGCUGCUUGAGUUAACUGUCCCACAAGUGUCCUGUGUUUUGUAAAGAUGAGGCUUAUUUUCUGAAAUGCAGAUGGGACUAGGAUGAAGCUGUAUUAUCAAUUACAGCCAACUCUCAUUUCUCUUAAAGCAAAAAUUCAUUCCACUGUGAUUUCUCCAGGUAUUUCCUGCAAUUCUAAAUCCACCCUUGAUAUUAGAGAAUAUUAAAAUCACACA
RNAcentral lists this non-coding RNA (1194 nucleotides) under Pongo abelii (Sumatran orangutan). Lineage: Eukaryota; Metazoa; Chordata; Mammalia; Primates; Hominidae. The record is from RNAcentral.